Molecule: long non-coding RNA, 750 nt
Organism: Peromyscus leucopus (white-footed mouse)
Lineage: Eukaryota; Metazoa; Chordata; Mammalia; Rodentia; Cricetidae
Exons: 3
Source: RefSeq, a predicted model, not a curated record
CAAAGAAGUGGAUGACAAAUCCUUGCUGGUAGCCCAGCGCCGACGUCCCAGGAUCUGACUGGAACUGGAUGGUGACAUCGGCCAUGGAGAAAGCAAGUGGAAGUUCCAGACAGCGAUGGAGAUGUGAGACGACCCCUGCCGCACUCCUCUGCUUGGCAGCGGAGCCUUCUCUGUGGGGACCCACUCACCAAUGCAGACAGGCUCUUGGGCAUCCCAGAAGGGCUGGGUAGCAUUGAGACAGAAAGGGGCCAUAGAGAUGGCCAGAUGCAAAGGCACCUGCUACCAAGUCUGACGACCUGAGUUUGAUCCCGGGGACCCACAUGGUGGGAGAAGAGGAGAGCUCUGAUUUCCACAAACUGCCCUCACAUUAAAUAAAUAAGUAAUUUUUUAAAGAUUAAAAAUGACAGUUAGUGUACUAAAAUGGAAUAGAAGGAAGAGAACUCAGAGAAAUCAAACACCCAGCUCAAAGUCGGCAGCUAGCAAGAAGUCCAUCUCCUCAGUCAGAGCAUGGCCCGUUUCCUCAUGUCCCACUCCUUUCCUGAGGCAUUCUCAGUUGCCACAUGGGGCCUAGACUGGAUCCCAGGUGGGUGAGGAAACCCAGUCUGGUUAGCUAAAGACCUCCAGAUGGUCAUUGUCAAGUCCCUUCAGCUCCUGCCUGACCUAGACUGUAAUAACACCAGAGCCACCCCGGAGGGCGGGCAGCCAGUCCUGGCUGGUUCCUCUCUCUCUUCCUCAGGUCUUACCUUGGUA